RNAcentral lists this ribosomal RNA (515 nucleotides) under uncultured bacterium. RNAcentral's name for it is "partial 16S ribosomal RNA". It matches the Rfam family "Bacterial small subunit ribosomal RNA", at positions 28 to 523 of the family's 1533-position model. The record is from RNAcentral.
GAUGAACGCUGGCGGCGUGCCUAAUACAUGCAAGUCGAGCGAAUAGAUUAAGAGCUUGCUCUUAUGAAGUUAGCGGCGGACGGGUGAGUAACACGUGGGUAACCUGCCCAUAAGACUGGGAUAACUCCGGGAAACCGGGGCUAAUACCGGAUAACAUUUUGAACCGCAUGGGUCGAAAUUGAAAGGCGGCUUCGGCUGUCACUUAUGGAUGGACCCGCGUCGCAUUAGCUAGUUGGUGAGGUAACGGCUCACCAAGGCAACGAUGCGUAGCCGACCUGAGAGGGUGAUCGGCCACACUGGGACUGAGACACGGCCCAGACUCCUACGGGAGGCAGCAGUAGGGAAUCUUCCGCAAUGGACGAAAGUCUGACGGAGCAACGCCGCGUGAGUGAUGAAGGCUUUCGGGUCGUAAAACUCUGUUGUUAGGGAAGAACAAGUGCUAGUUGAAUAAGCUGACACCUUGACGGUACCUAACCAGAAAGCCACGGCUAACUGCGUGCCAGCAGCCGCUGUAA